CUAAUUAAAGUUUGAGCCAGAUUAUAUGUGUAGAGACCAAGUUCCUUUACAGUUGUAUUUCAUGAUGGACGAAAUGCAUAUAAAAAUUAUAUAUAGGACUAUGGUCCCCAAUUCAUAUGUGGCUCUCAUUAAUUGUGUUAUCCCAUCAACACAAGAAUACAAGAAAAAACAUAUUGAAGAAGAAGAUCCCAAACUCACAAUCAAGAUCAACUAUCAAGAAUCAAGAAGAAGGCAUUCAAGAAUCAAGACUACAGAUCAAGAAGCAGAAUCAAGAAAAAGAAUUAAAGUACCAAAAUAGACAAAAUUCAAGAUUAAAAAUGAAGAAGCCAAACAUUAAAAGAUUGAUCUUCAAGAUUCAAGAUCAAGAAUCAAGAUCCAAAAUAAAAGAAUUAUUCCCAAUAAAUUAAAGCAUGUUCCGCAUUAUUAAUUUUCUUGGAGAUUUGACAUGAAAGAUUUUGGCAAUAAAAAUAAUUAGGUUUUCAUAUCUCAAGAUUUAAAGUUUAUUAAAAUUCUAAUAAUUUAUUCUCACGACCUGGAAUAUAGAAUUUUCACAUUUCCAAAUCUAGGAACUAAGAAUUACUCCCCCAUUGGUAUAUUUCUAUUUUGCAACUUCUCUUAAUUCUCUCAAAAAAUUAAACA
RNAcentral lists this small RNA (639 nucleotides) under Olea europaea subsp. europaea. Lineage: Eukaryota; Viridiplantae; Streptophyta; Magnoliopsida; Lamiales; Oleaceae. The record is from RNAcentral.